CAGCAGCCGCGGUAAUACGUAGGUGGCAAGCGUUGUCCGGAAUUAUUGGGCGUAAAGCGCGCGCAGGCGGUUCUUUAAGUCCGGUGUACAAGUGCGGGGCUCAACCCCGUGAGGCACUGGAAACUGGGGAACUUGAGUGCAGAAGAGGAGAGCGGAAUUCCACGUGUAGCGGUGAAAUGCGUAGAGAUGUGGAGGAACACCAGUGGCGAAGGCGGCUCUCUGGACUGUAACUGACGCUGAGGCGCGAAAGCGUGGGGAGCAAACAGGAUUAGAUACCCCGGUAGUCCCUGUCUCUUAUACA
This 301-nucleotide ribosomal RNA is filed under the name uncultured bacterium. Its description in RNAcentral is "partial 16S ribosomal RNA". It matches the Rfam family "Bacterial small subunit ribosomal RNA", at positions 509 to 808 of the family's 1533-position model. The record is from RNAcentral.